UACGUAGGGUGCGAGCGUUAAUCGGAAUUACUGGGCGUAAAGCGCACGUAGGCGGCCAACUAAGUCGGAUGUGAAAUCCCCAGGCUUAACCUGGGAACUGCAUCCGAUACUGGAUGGCUUGAAUCCGGGAGAGGGAUGCAGAAUUCCAGGUGUAGCGGUGAAAUGCGUAGAUAUCUGGAGGAAUACCGGUGGCGAAGGCGGCAUCCUGGACCGGCAUUGACGCUGAUGAGCGAAAGCUAGGGGAGCAAACGGG
RNAcentral lists this ribosomal RNA (253 nucleotides) under uncultured bacterium. Its description in RNAcentral is "partial 16S ribosomal RNA". It matches the Rfam family "Bacterial small subunit ribosomal RNA", at positions 524 to 776 of the family's 1533-position model. The record is from RNAcentral.